Xiphophorus couchianus (Monterrey platyfish) is the source of this 807-nucleotide long non-coding RNA. RefSeq lists it as uncharacterized. The record is from RefSeq and is a predicted model, not a curated record. The transcript has 2 exons. NCBI's taxonomy places the organism in Eukaryota, Metazoa, Chordata, Actinopteri, Cyprinodontiformes, Poeciliidae.
GCGAUACUUUUUUUUUGUGCCAAAAUCACUUAACUCGGGCCAUUAUUUUAGGAAGGUUGUUAGUCUACUAAUUAUAGAGGAAACAGAGGAAAGAACAGCUUACCCUGUUGAGGAAAGAAAGAAAGUAAGGUGCCGAGGUUCAUUAGACAGCAAGAAGUGCAGCGCAACGCACAAUAAAUGUGCACGUGUUGUACAGGGGAAAAUACGAUUGUGUUUUUAUUUUUACUUUUGUUGUGCUUUGCAUGCUUGGGGCUUGUCUUUUCUUUUUUCCCCUUUAACAAUCCAAGCGCACUGGACUGAAGGUGGUUGUCUAAGGGGCGGAGCGCACUAAUUGGCCGCACAUACAGGUGUCAGCAGAGGCUGAUUGAGGCCGGAAUAAAAGGAGCCUGGAUGGAAGAGGAAGAAGACUGAUUCUGUGGGCCACGGAGACUGACAGGCUGCGGAGUGAGGGGCAGGCGGAACCCGUAUGUCAGGCAGAGAACACCGGGAGUUGAACAGACGGCCCAGUACAGAGGAUCAGGGCAGAGGAAAACCUCUGCCCGCGCCUAUGGAUUGGGCCGAGGAGGGGUGUGGCACGCCGAAGAGUGGAGCGGUGCCGGAGCGUCACGCAGUCAGCUGUGGAUCGGCAAAAGAGAGCGCUGCAGACGGAUCGUCAGCAUAAGAAGCGGAGCCCAACCCGUGGUCUCGAAUUGAUGACUUUUGUUUAAAGACAAUUAUUGAUUCCGGGAUUUUAUUGAGAAAAAGAGGACGGUUUUAUUGAGUCACUAUUUGUGACUUUUUUUUUGUAAUAAAAUACCUUGCGCCUGA